This 386-nucleotide ribosomal RNA is filed under the name Eimeria rioarribaensis. RNAcentral describes it as "SSU rRNA". It matches the Rfam family "Eukaryotic small subunit ribosomal RNA", at positions 488 to 878 of the family's 1831-position model. Lineage: Eukaryota; Apicomplexa; Conoidasida; Eucoccidiorida; Eimeriidae. The record is from RNAcentral.
GGGCAUUUUAUGCUCUGUAAUUGGAAUGAUGGGAAUGUAAAACCCUCUCAGAGUAACAAUUGGAGGGCAAGUCUGGUGCCAGCAGCCGCGGUAAUUCCAGCUCCAAUAGUGUAUAUUAGAGUUGUUGCAGUUAAAAAGCUCGUAGUUGGAUUUCUGUCGUGGUCAUCCGGUACCGCCCGUAUGGGUGUGCACCUGGUUUGACCUCGGCUUUCUUCCGGUAGCCUUCGGCGCUUCAUUGCGUGGUUGGUGUUCCGGAACUUUUACUUUGAGAAAAAUAGAGUGUUUCAAGCAGGCUUGUCGCCCUGAAUACUUCAGCAUGGAAUAAUAAGAUAGGACCUUGGUUCUAUUUUGUUGGUUUCUAGGACCAAGGUAAUGAUUAAUAAGGA